Molecule: ribosomal RNA, 484 nt
Filed under: uncultured bacterium
Lineage: Bacteria
Description: partial 16S ribosomal RNA
Rfam family: Bacterial small subunit ribosomal RNA
Source: RNAcentral
AUUGAACGCUGGCGGCAGGCCUAACACAUGCAAGUCGAGCGGAUGAAGGGAGCUUGCUCCUGGAUUCAGCGGCGGACGGGUGAGUAAUGCCUAGGAAUCUGCCUGGUAGUGGGGGAUAACGUCCGGAAACGGGCGCUAAUACCGCAUACGUCCUGAGGGAGAAAGUGGGGGAUCUUCGGACCUCACGCUAUCAGAUGAGCCUAGGUCGGAUUAGCCAGUUGGUGGGGUAAAGGCCUACCAAGGCGACGAUCCGUAACUGGUCUGAGAGGAUGAUCAGUCACACUGGAACUGAGACACGGUCCAGACUCCUACGGGAGGCAGCAGUGGGGAAUAUUGGACAAAGGGCGAAAGCCUGAUCCAGCCAUGCCGCGUGUGUGAAGAAGGUCUUCGGAUUGUAAAGCACUUUAAGUUGGGAGGAAGGGCAGUAAGUUAAUACCUUGCUGUUUUGACGUUACCAACAGAAUAAGCACCGGCUAACUUCGUG